Molecule: unclassified non-coding RNA, 7210 nt
Filed under: Leishmania donovani
Lineage: Eukaryota; Euglenozoa; Kinetoplastea; Trypanosomatida; Trypanosomatidae
Description: gene:LdHU3.36.5220(CDS-product:hypothetical_prote in_conserved)
Source: RNAcentral
CGUACCCUACUUUUUCCUUUUGUUCUUUGUUUCUCCGCCCUCUGUCUCCACUUGCCCUCCCUUUCCAUCUUUUCUUUUUCUUGGAAAACAGCCCUUGAUAUCACCGGCUUCAGAGGGGAGAGGGCCCGGCCUUUUACCUUCCGUCAUCUCUCAUUUCGCCUUUUCGUUUUACGUCACUCUUUGUUUUGUGGUUUCCAGUUCACACGGCGUCAUACGCUGUCUGACGCAGACAAGCACACGCAGGCUUCCUCUCCUCUUCGUCUUGACCGCAUCGCACUUCAGUGCGGCUGCCAUCAUAGGCCCUUCCCGACCCACCCACGCCCGCCUCACCACACACCCCUGCUACCAACCUCAAAGGAAAACCAACCAAUAGCAAAAAAAAAACGUACUAAUCUGAAUCGCACCACUCUCGUACGAUGCGGUGGGCACAACCACACAUUCCGUUACGUCAUUACCCCUGAUUUUUUUUUCAUUUCUUGCCUGCUCUCGUCUUUCUCUUGAAGGUUCCGCCACUGCUCUCUCCACUCGGCUUUCUAGCACUCUUUGCGUCUCAUUUCUUUCCUCCGGCUUGACCGAAUCGCGCUUGCACGCCGUUUUUUUUUUGCCGAUCACCGCUAUAUACACAAGUGCGCACAUAUACGCACACUCCAACCUCUUCACUCAAAGGCAGUAGGAGAGAAGAGUGCAAGGCAGGAAGGGAGUGCGUCGCGCAGGGGACACGUUUGAUGACUGGCAAACCCGCUUUUACUUUCUCUCUCCAUCGAUGCUCCGCCUCUGCCUUGCAUUGCGCUCUGCUAGCGUGCAGCGGAAGCCGCACCUUUUCCGUAUCGACCUGACUUCGAAGCACACUCCAGGUCACCUUUACCUCGCCGAUCGUGCCGUCAAGUCCACUGCUGCGGACCCAUGCUUUGUGUGCCUCGACAACGCCAUGGCAUGCCAGACAGUGGAUUCGAACGCUGCGGUCGUGCUGCGCAAUUGCAUGACAAAGGGCCGGGAACUCUUCCAGUACGGGCGGAUGCGCUUUCAAGGCAUGAGUGCUGCCCUCGUGUUUCGUCAUAACCACCUCGUCUUCCAAGGCAUCGGCGAUGCUUCUGUGCAGGCUCUUGAAAUGUCGCUGCAGCACAAGGACAUUUUUGCGCUACUGGGCGGCAUCAGCCAGCAUGAGAACAUACCGGAGUGGGCGCGCGCUGUCGAGAAGGCCAUCGCCGAGGGUGACGUGGAGUACGUUGCGGAGGAGAUGCUGCUGCAGCUGCGGUGCCCCACGGAAGGCUGCACUUCGGUUGUGGCAAAGAUAUCCAAGUUCUCAGCAGGUCUGCCGGAGCCGCCGAGUUAUUCCCAUGCCAUGUAGGGAGACGGCACAGAAGAAAACAAAAAGGCGUUGUUUGGGAGUUUUGUUUGUGUUUUGUAUCAGCUCUUUCCUCUCGUGCGAAAAAAGGACGCAAGGAGGAAGCCGAAAACGCUAUCAGAAGGAACCAGCGGCCAAGCAAAGGAAAUGACGGAUUUUCUUUAUCUCAUAGUGGUGCAGGUGUGCUCGGCGCAUGUCACUUCGACCCCUGUACGUUGGGUAGGUAAAUCCACACAGAGGCAAAAUAGAGGCGUUCAAUCACGUACUUGUGCGGGGCUGACUGUGUGGAGGUCAGACUGAGGUCACAACCCCCCCUUCUCCACCACACGCAUACACGCACAUUCUCAGAUUUACGUCUGUUUGCCGAGGCACAGGCACAUACGUGCACACUUGAGUAGCUCCAAGCUGAACCGUCAUUGAUAGCAACACCACCCGCACACACACACACACACACACACGCGAAGUGAUAAACAAUAAACACUAUUCCUUUCUCUCUCUGUUUCUCUCCUUUCUUUUUCUGUGUGUGCGGGUGCAUGUAUUACAGAGAAGUUUCUUUUUCUCUUCGUUCUCACGUUUUUUUUUCGGCGUCUGAUUUGUUGUUUUGCGCGGUUCUUUCGAGGUUGUUUCACUUUACUUCCCCCCUCUCCUUUCUCGUUUUGCGUUUCAUUCGUGGCCAGCAACCACGCGCUCUGUUCUGCGACUCUCCUUGCUUCACGUUUGUUUCUUUUGUAAGCCUACUAAAUGUGUGCGUGUUUGUGUGUGUGUGUGUGCUCCGCUGCCAUGCGGGGCCUUUUUCUUUAUUGAGCGGUGGCGGUGGUUCGCCGUCUCUCUCUCUGUUCUGUAUGUUUGUAUCUCUUGCUUUUUUGUUUCGCUCCUUUUGGCUCUUGUCCUCUCGCGCUUUCUUCGUCUCACGCUGCCGUUCCUGUUCUCUGUCACUUUUUUUUCUGGUUUCUUUGCCCUCUCUCUCUCUUUACCUUUCACUGCCCGUCUAGCUCCCCCAUCUCUCUCUCUCCUUCUUUUCACUCUUUCUCUGUAUGUUGACUGCUUUACUGCCCCCAACCCCCUCCCCCUCCCUAGCUCCACUCUUUUUUUUUCUUCCCGCCCCACGCCCACAAUGCUUUCCCUUCUUUCAACUUCGCCAUCCCUUCUCAGAAUGUGUGUCACUUCAGUGGAGAGAGAAUGCGAUUAUGCCCGUGUUUUUGUUUUGUUGGCUUGCUCCUGCCUUCUCUCUUCUUCCUGUGCUGGUGCACGCCGUAUUGGUGGAUGCCUGAUUGUAGCUAUGGCAAACCAAUUUCUCUAUACUUCUUUUAUCGAUGCACUUUCUUUGGCAUGGGCUAGCGAAGUAUCCUCCGUCACGUGAUGCUGCCUUGUUUUCCCCUUGCCCUACCGCCACACAUUUGUGUACCUAUUUAGCAUAUAUGUAUAUAUAUUUUAUAUCCAUGGAGCGCAUCAUCAUGCGGUGAUUGUUCAGUGGUGCGGUACACGCGAAGCGGAAAAACAGAGGACAUUUGCAAGCGCAACAGCCGAAAAAAAAGUUGAAACAACGCCGAGUUUUUUUUUGUUUUGGUUUCUCCCCCUUUCUGCAAGUCGUGGAUGUCGGGGAGGGUUUCCAAUUGAGGACGGGCCAGAGAGCGCAAACAACCAAAGAAGCAUCCACGUACUAGUGAAGGUGUGGCUGAAUGGGUGUGUGAUUGCACAAGGGGGGGGGAAGGGGCAAAAGGGAGUGAGGGAAUCGGCUGCGCAGGAGACCCCCUCCCCCAAAGAAGCAAAAAAAAGGACGCGAACAAAAAUGCAAGAGAGAUGCAGGCAAGAUAAGAAUAAUAUACACGCACGCCAAUUAGCCACAACCAGAUAGCAUAAGCAAAUAUGGGAGGAAAGAGGAGGGGAUUAUCGGCAGAACCUACGCCAAAGGAAACAGGAAGAGCACCGGGCAUCUUUACACCUCUGUCUUGGCUCCUACUCUUUUCUAGAGCCUUUUUUGGUGUCGCCGAUCUCUUCGCCCUCUCUCUUUUCCUCUUCCCCUUUCUCCGUCUGAAGGCGUCUCUCUCGCUGUGGCGAUGCGCUUACAUGUUUGCUCAGGGUGUCGCUCUGCAUGCAUGCUCCACUUUUGUGUGCCUUUGGAGAAAUAUGUGUGGAUCCAUGUUGUCUGGCUGUACUCUGUGCGGCAAACAACGGCAGCGGAAGCUCGCACUCUCCUCCCCUCCCUCAACCCCAAGAAAAGAAAGACAAAAAGAAAUCGGAAGAAAAAUUUCGGAGUGAAUAAAACGGGGAAAAACGAAAUGGUGAGGGGAAAAGGGAAGAAGAAGCACCCGGACAGAACGCAUGAGACUCUUUUUUUUUUGUCUGUGUGCUGUGCUUUUACCAAGCCGUUUGACAAUGACGCAUCGAUGCUGUCUCGUGUGUGCGCUUUUUCUUGUUCACCUUUUCUGCCGUCUUUCCAGCAGCGCCUUGUCCUUCCUCCGUCUCCUUUCUGUUUUCUUUCGAGCCAUGUCUUCUGUCCGCACUCUUGCGUCUCCGUCUGCUUUUCUCAGGGCUCGAUUUGGCUUCUCUCCAUCUCUCUCUUUUCGGUUGUGAGCCAACGCCGACGACGGUGCCUUACUUCUUCCUUUUCCCUUUUUCCUUUUUUUUUGCCUAUUUCAUUUUAGUGUGUCCUUUUUUAUUUCUUUGUGUCGUUGUACUGUUUAACAUUUCGGUUGCUUAGUUCGCAGUGGCUAAUGAGUGAUUGCGCAUGGCAGAGACCGAGCAGAAAGAGAACAACACGAGGCGCAGCAUACAAAUCAAGCGUUUUGGUUUCGUGCAAAGUAGGAAAAAGGAAAUUUUAGGAAGAAAAAGGGAAUCCAUCAGAGAGGUGACUGCAGUCUUUUCUUUUUUGAAGUGUGGUGCUUUCACGUGUAUCUGUCGACGCUGUUCAAGGUGAAGAAGGCGCGAAAAAGAAAGAGUAGUAGUGACUCUCUUCUUGAAUGCUCUCUUUCUCUCUUUGCGUCUCUCUCAUGUGCAUAUGUUGCUUUACGUGUGCUACCUCUGUCGUGAUUUUGUUUCGCCUUCGCCUACUUUUCUCAUUUUUCACCCGUGCUCUUUCGAAUCUAAAUGCAUAUCUGCGUGUCUUGCUCUGUCCAUAUGCAUGUGUAGUCGUUGAGGUGGUAUCUUGCAGAUGGAGAGGAGAGAGUGGCCGGGGAAUGGAAAGUUUCGCCUGAAGAUUUAGACGAAACGAUAUUAGAAGUCCGCCCACUCGCCUAUUCGCCGCUUCAUCGUCCUUCUCUUCCACCAUCUUCCUGUACUUCUGCGUGUAUGCUUCGCGGUGCGUGCUCUGCUUCGUUUUCUUCGUGAGUAUUGCUCACGGGGGCGGCACUUUCUUUUUGUCCCCCCUCUUUCUGAAGCCAACCUUCUCACAGCGACAGAAGUAAACCUCCACCUUUUUUCGAUGAUUGCACUUCACAUUACACUGCAAUGCGCAGAAUCACCUACACCGACCCAAAUAUAUGGGCGAACGGUACUUACUGACGUGCUCUCACACGCUGCCUUCUGCAGGCAGCAAGGCAGCUCUGUUUUCGGCUUCGGCUUUUGUCUCUCUCUUUUAAUGUCGUGGCAUCCCAUUUUUCACGGAGAGAUGGUCUGCCGCCAGAACCGAAGGGGUUCAACAAGGAGUGCGACAAACCAGCGCUCAUCACGCGCCUAUGUGUGCGUAGGUGUGCUUCGUGACGGCGUGCAAUUAGGAUCUCUUGUAGCCAUCACUGCGUGCUCUUUUGUAAUUUGCUUUCCACUACCCUUCCCUUCCCCCUCCCUUUCCCCUCCCUUCCCCCCUCAUCAUCAUCGCCCUCCCUUUAUCCCUCUUUUUCGUGUUUAAGUGAAGUCCCCUUUUGCUUUAUUUAUUUUUGCUGUUCUUUGUUUGUGUGCAUUCUUGUCCUUUUUUUUUGUAUGUGCGCCUUCUUCUCCGACUAUGCUUUUUGCAUGAGCUCAAAAACAACAACAGAAAGGGCACCGAAGAAAAAGAAAAAGAGUCAUUGUGCCUCCCUGCCCUCCCCAUCUUAUCUGUCUCGCCUCUCUUACUCUCCCUCAUUCUACUUUUUUGGGCUGGGGGGGGUGGGGUGAUGCUGUACUUUGGGACUACACGCGCACCUAUACACGCUAACAGAUACGCGAACACAGCCUUCAGCUCAUGUGUCUUGCCUUUUUUUCACUUUUAUUUCUCUUUUUACCCUCCUUUCUGUGUGCCCUUGUUCACCGUACAGAGCAUACGUAGGAAUGCCCACCAGAAGUGCUGCGAGGCAUCCCAAUACAUUCGGAAACGUCGCAUUGCACCCACCUGUCGCUUUUUUCCUUCUCUUUGUCUGCCUCCCUUUUCACGGCAUCCGAAACAGAAAGAAGGCAAAACGAUGCGCCUACUUCACAAGUAGUCCGGGCACCCCGUUUGCGUUGACAGUGCCACGCAACACGCGCAGCGGGCCAAUCUACUACAGUGUCUUUUGUUUUUUUUCUGUGUUUUUCUGACUUUCGAUUCCGAUGUUUCUUUUCUCGUUUCUCUAUUUCUCUCGUCUGUUGUCUUGCUUCUCAUGGUUGCUCUUGUCAUGUUUGCGUGUCAGUGGGCCUCUCGGCCUCCCUUCUGCUACCUCUCCUUUUUCCAGCUAACCGCAUCUUCUCAACAGCCAUUCCAGCUGUCGUUCACCAACCACCCGAGUGCGAGUACAGACGACAUGCAAAACAACGAGGAGAACUGAUGUAUGUGACCCCCGUGCAACAUCACCCGGGCCAAACUAUGACGAAGAGCAAGGAAAACCAAAGAUAAGCAAAAGAAAGAGAAAAACUUUAAGAAGUAGCGGUUGCGCACGUCUGCGCGCUCAUGUUUUUGCCACCUCCAAUGAACUGAGCACUGCCACCUGCACCUACUCGCAGGUGCACACUCGGACUCAGAGGAAAGCGAAAGGGGCUCGAGGACAGCGUAUCUCUAGCUCUGUGCGGACUCACAUGCCUGAUUUGCACACAGCUACAGAUUACACUUAGCCCUCCGCCAGAAAAGAAAAGCCCCACCCUGCACCUUCCCCCCACCUCACCUCAGCAUGCUAACCUCUUUUUUUUUGAAUACGUUUUUGCUUUCUUCGGUCAUACACGUGUGCGUGUGUGUGCUUUGGUUUCUUCGCUGUUUCCUGUUCUCCAGGUUUUUCCUUGCCUUUUUCCUUGCGUGUGUGUGCGUGUGUGCCCCUGCUUUACUUCAAUUUCUUUUUUUUUCUUUCGUUCAAUGUUGCUCUCUUCUCUGUUUGCUUCUGUGUUUCCACUGGAUGAGCCUUGAUGCGGAAAGGAGGCCCGUGAACACAGCUGUACCUCUAUGGAGUGCGGUGUAAGAAAUAAGUCUCUCUGCGUGUGUGCGUGGGCGCGCUUUUUUCGCCGUUUCACUUCUGUGUAGUUUGGGCACUUCUUUCUACCUCGUCUUUGUGCGACCCCUCGUCCCUUUCCAUUGCUUCAACUCUCCUCCUCCUCAACGCAUCGUCGCCUUUUUUCCUCCGCACCUUCCGUCUUUCUCCCUGCGGAGAGGGGAAGGCAGGAGCUGGUAGAGGUGUGGCGAGGCUUAUGUAAAGGGGGGAAGGGAAAGUCAAAGGUACGGGAACGAUGCAGGCAGACAUACAGGAUGCUUGAUAGACGGGUGAGAGACAGAGGCUCGACGAAAAGGACACAGAAGCAGCCCCAAGAGAGGUUUGCAGUAUCUCUUCCCUCUUCCCUCUUCCCUCACUCUCACCUUCAUGUCUCACCUCUUCCUCCACCGCAUUAUACAACGUUGACCGGAGACGUUUCCAUGUCUUCUCCCUCCCUCCCGUACUACCCCAUCACGAUUUGCCCCGUUCUCCGGCACCCCCCUCACAUCGCCCUUUUUAG